RNAcentral lists this transfer RNA (67 nucleotides) under Phryganea bipunctata. RNAcentral's name for it is "tRNA-Tyr". The record is from RNAcentral. Lineage: Eukaryota; Metazoa; Arthropoda; Insecta; Trichoptera; Phryganeidae.
AGUAAAAUGGCUGAAUUUUAAGUAAUAAAUUGUAAAUUUAUUUAUAGGAUGAAUAUCCUUUUUACUA